Molecule: ribosomal RNA, 1313 nt
Filed under: Haloferax sp. M7
Lineage: Archaea; Methanobacteriati; Methanobacteriota; Halobacteria; Halobacteriales; Haloferacaceae
Description: bacterial SSU rRNA
Rfam family: Archaeal small subunit ribosomal RNA
Source: RNAcentral
CGGAGGUCAUUGCUAUUGGGGUCCGAUUUAGCCAUGCUAGUUGUACGAGCUUAGACUCGUCGCGGAAAGCUCAGUAACACGUGGACAAACUACCCUACGGAGAGCCAUAACCUCGGGAAACUGAGGCUAAUAGUUCAUAGGAGAGUCGCGCUGGAAAUGCCGACUCUCCCAAACGCUCCGGCGCCGUAGGAUGUGUCUGCGGCCGAUUAGGUAGACGGUGGGGUAACGGCCCACCGUGCCGAUAAUCGGUACGGGUUGUGAGAGCAAGAGCCCGGAGACGGAAUCUGAGACAAGAUUCCGGGCCCUACGGGGCGCAGCAGGCGCGAAACCUUUACACUGCACGCAAGUGCGAUAAGGGGACCCCAAGUGCGAGGGCAUAUAGUCCUCGCUUUUCACGACUGUAAGGCGGUCGUGGAAUAAGAGCUGGGCAAGACCGGUGCCAGCCGCCGCGGUAAUACCGGCAGCUCAAGUGAUGACCGAUAUUAUUGGGCCUAAAGCGUCCGUAGCCGGCCACGAAGGUUCAUCGGGAAAUCCGCCAGCUCAACUGGGGGGGCGUCCGGUGAAAACCACGUGGCUGGGGACCGGAGGCUCCGAGGGGUACCGUCCGGGGGAAGGAGUGAAAUCCUGUAAUCCUGGACGGACCACCCGAGGGCGAAAGCACCCGUAGGGAAGCCCGAGAAGGCGAGCCGGCCUGGGGAGGUACGUCCGCAAAGGGAUGAAACUUAAAGGGAAUUGGCGGGGGAGCACUACAACCCGGAGGGAGCCUGCGGUUUAAAUGGACUCAACGCCGGGACAUCUCACCAGGCUCCGAUACAGUGAUGACGAUCAGGUUGAUGACCUUAUCACGACGCUGUAGAGAGGAGGUGCAUGGCCGCCGUCAGCUCGUACCGUGAGGCGUCCUGUUAAGUCAGGCAACGAGCGAGACCCGCACUUCUUAAUUGCCAGCAGCAGUUUCGACUGGCUGGGUACAUUAGAAGGACUGCCGCUGCUAAAGCGGAGGAAGGAACGGGCAACGGUAGGUCAGUAUGCCCCGAAUGAGCUGGGCUACACGCGGGCUACAAUGGUCGAGACAAUGGGUUGCUAUCUCGAAAGAGAACGCUAAUCUCCUAAACUCGAUCGUAGUUCGGAUUGAGGGCUGAAACUCGCCCUCAUGAAGCUGGAUUCGGUAGUAAUCGCAUUUCAAUAGAGUGCGGUGAAUACGUCCCUGCUCCUUGCACACACCGCCCGUCAAAGCACCCGAGUGAGGUCCGGAUGAGGCCACCACACGGUGGUCGAAUCUGGGCUUCGCAAGGGGGCUUAAGUCGUAACAAGGU